AGGCCCGGCUGGUGCUUCUCUGGGCGCCGCUGAAAGCCCAGCUCCGCAGGAGCUACAGGCGUGAGACCCACCGGGACCCGCGAGCGGGAUCAGGGCUGGGGGAUUAGCAGAGCCGCUUGCGAGGCUGACCCUCUCCAGGAUGCCCCAUGUAAACCUGGAUGUCAGUUUCUGACGCUUUAGCUUAAACCCAAAAGCCAAUCUGAGCGAACUCUUGCUUCCCUCGCCUGCCGGGCUGAACCCAAAGGCGCAUUAGCCCAGUGCGGCUGCUUCAUUCUUGAGCUAAGACCGCCGGCGGCGUCUGCGCCUCCGCGAGUCCGCUGUCAGGUCCAGCUGGUGUAGAGAGAGUUGAAAUCUCACUUUGGGCCGGGCGCGGUGGCUCACGUCUGUAAUCCUAGAACUUUUGGGAGGUCGAGGCAGGCGGAUCACUUGAAGUCAGGAGUUCGAGACCAGGCUGGCUAACAUAAUGAAACCCCUGUCUCUACUAAAAAUACAAAAAUUGAUCGGGCAUGGUGGCGCGCGCCUGUAAUCCCAGCUACUCAGGAGGCUGAGGCGGGAGAAUCACUUGAACCUGAGAGGCAGAGAUUGCAGUGAGCUGAGAUCAUGCCACUGCACUCCAGCCUGGGCAACAGAGUGAGACUCCGUCUCAAAAAAAAAAAAAAAAAACCACGAAAAAAGAAAUAUGAUUGGACCAGAAGGCCAAUAACCUGAGUGGGGAAACCCAGCAAGUCCUGUCCGUGUAGAUUCUUCUUGACCUUUCUCUGCAGCAUUCCUUCCUUCUGAGUACGGGGCAGGACUCUCUCUGGGAUGGAGGGGUCUUAGGACCUGCAAGCAAACAAGGGGGAGAUGCAUUAGAGUGCAGUGAUACGAUCACAGCUCAUUGCAGCCUUGACCUCCUGGGCUCAAGCAAUCCUUCCACCUCAGCCUCCCAAGUAGCGCCACUGAAAUCUAUGUUCUUACUCAGCCCACCUGCACUGAGGUGAAAUAAACAGCUUUAUUGCUCACACAAAGCCUGUUGGUGGACUCUCUUCACAUUGAUGCGCGUGACAUUUUGUGCUGUGACUUGGAUUGGGGGCCCUUCCUUGGGAGAUCAAUCCCCUGUCCUCCUGCUCUUUGCUCCAGGAGAAAGAUCCACCACGACCUUGGGUCUUCGGACCAACCAGCCCAAGGAACAUCUCACCAAUUUUAAAUCGGGUAAGCGGCCUCUUUUUACUCUCUUCUCCAACCUCUCUCACUAUCCCUCAACCUCUUUCUCCAUUCAGUCUUGGCACCAUCCUUCAAUCUCUCCCUUCUCUUAAUUUCAGUUCCUUUCCUUUUCUGGUAGAGACAGAGGAGACACAUUCUAUCCGUGAACCCAAAACUCCAGCACCAGUCAUGGCCUCGGGAAGACAGUCUUCCCUUGGUGUUUAAUCACUGUGGGAAUGCCUGCUUGAUUAUUCACCCAUGUUUCAGAGGUGUCUGAUCACCGCUGGGAAGCCUGCCUUGAUCGUUCACCCUUAGUGGCAAGCACCACUUUCCUGGGGGGCAACACCCCCCACCCCUUCUCUCCAUGUCUCCACUCUCUCUUUUCUCUGGGCUUGCCUCCUUCACUAUGGGCAACCUUCUACCCUCCAUUCCUCCUUCUUCUCCCUUAGCCUGGCAAGAACUUAAAACCUCUUCAACUCACACCUGACCUAAAACCUAAACCCCUUAUUUUCUUCUGCAAUGCCGCUUAACCCCAACACAAACUCGACAGUGGUUCCAAAUAGCCAGAAAAUGGCACUUUCGAUUUUUCCAUCCUACAAGAUCUAGAUAAUUCUUGUCAUAAAAUGGGCAAAUGGUCUGAGAUGCCUGAUGUCCAGGCAUUCUUUUACACAUCGGUCCCUCCCUAGUCUCUGUUUCCAAUGCUACUCAUCCCAAAUCCUCCUUCUUUCCCUCCCACCUGUCCCCUCAGUCCCAACCCCAAGUGUCACUGAGUCUUUUCAAUCUUCCUUUUCUACUGACCCAUCUGACCUCUCCCCUCCUCCCCAAACUGCUCCUCCUCAGGUCUUUCCCUGCCAGGCUGAAUCAGGCUCCAAUUCUUCCUCAGCCUCCGCUCCCCCAUCCUAUAAUCCUUCUGUCACCUACCCUCCUCACACCCAGUCCAGCUUACAGUUUUGUUCUGCAACUAGCCCUCCCCGACCUGCCCAACAAUUUCCUCUUAAAGAGGUGGCUGGAGCUAAAGGCAUAGUCAAGGUUAAUGCUCCUUUUUCUUUAUCUGACCUCUCCCAAAUCAGUUAGCGUUUAGGCUCUUUUUCCUCAAAUAUAAAAACCCAGCCCAGUUCAUGGCUCCUUUGGCAGCAACCCUGAGACGCUUUACAGCCCUAGACCCUGAAGGGCCAGGAAGCCGUCUUAUUCUCAAUAUGCAUUUUAUUACCCAAUCCGCUCCCGACGUUAGAUAAAGCUCCAAAAAUUAGAUUCCGGCCCUCAAACCCCACAACAGGACUUAAUUAACCUCACCUUCAAGGUAUGCAAUAAUAGAGUAGAGGCAGCCAAGUAGCAAAAUAUUUCUGAGUUGCAAUUCCUUGCCUCCACUGUGAGAGAAACCCCAGCCACAUCUCCAGCACACAAGAACUUCAAAAUGCCUAAGCCGUAGAUGCCUAAGCUGCAGCGGUCAAGCCUUCCUACAGGACCUCCUCCAUCAGGACCUUGCUUCAAGUGCCAGAAAUCUGGCCACCGGGCCAAGGAAUGCCAGCAGCCCAGGAUUCCUCCCAAGCUGUGUCCAAUCUGUGCAGGGAUCCACUGGAAAUCAAACCACCCAGCUUGCCCGGCAGCCACUCUUAGAGCCCCUAAAGCUCUGGCCUAAGGCUCUCUGACUGACGCCUUCCCAGAUCUUCUUGGCUUCGCAGCUGAAGACUGACACUGCUCAAUCACCUCAGAAGCCUCCUGGACCAUCACAGACGCUUUGGGUAACUCUUAAAGUGGAGGGUAAGUCAGUCCCCUUCUUAGUCAAUAUGGAGGCUACACACUCCACAUUGCCUUCUUUUCAAGGGCCUGUUUCCCUUGCCUCCAUAACUGUUGUGGGUAUUGACGGCCAGGCUUCAAAAUCCCUUAAAAUUCCCCCACUCUGGUGCCAACUUGGACAACAUUCUUUUAUGCACUCCUUUUGUUAUCCCCACCUGCCCAGUUCCUUAUUAGGCCAAGACACUUUAAAUUAUCUGCUUCCCUGACUAUUCCUGGGCUACAGCCACACCUCAUUGCCGCCCUUUUCCCCAGUUCAAAGCCUCCUUCACAUCCUCCCCUUGUACCUCCCCACCUUAAUCCACAGGUAUAGGACACCUCUACUCCCUCCUCGGCGACCGAUCAUGCACCCCUUACCAUCCCAUUAAAACCUAAUCACCCUACCUUGCUCAAUGCCAAUAUCCCAUCCCACAGCACGCUUUAAAAGGAUUAAAGCCUGUUAUCACUCACCUGUUACAGCAUGGCCUUUUAAAGCCUAUAAACUCUCCUUACAAUUCCCCUAUUUUACCUGUCCAAAAAUCAGACAAGUCUUACAAGUUAGUUCAGGAUCUGUGCCUUAUCAACCAAAUUGUUUUGCCUAUCCACCCCGUGGUGACGAACUCAUAUACUCUCCUCCUCAAUGCCUCCCUCCACAACCCCUCCACAAGCCAUUAUUCUGUUCUGGAUCUCAAACGUGCUUUCUUUACUAUUCCUUUGCGUCCCAUCCCAGCCUCUCUUCGCUUUCACUUGGACUGUCCCUGACACUCAUCAGGCUCAGCAAGUUUCCUGGGCUGUACUGCCUCAAGGCUUCACGGACAGCCCCCAUUACUUCAGUCAAGCCCAAAUUCCUUCCUCAUCCAUUACCUAUCUCGGCAUAAUUCUUCAUGAAAACACACAUGCUCUCCCUGCUAAUGGUGUCCGGUUAAAUCUAUCCUCAAGGAAAUCACUUCUCAGUGUUCCAUCUGCUAUUCUCCUACUCCUCAGGGAUCGUUCAGGCCCCCUCCCCUUCCCUACACGUCAAGCUCAGGGAUUUGCCCCCACCUAGGACUGGCAAAUUGACUUUGCUCACAUGCCCCGAGUCAGGAAACUAAAAUACCUCUUGGUCUGGGUAGACGCUUUCACCGGAUGGGUAGAGGCCUUUCCCACAGGGUCUGAGAAGGCCACCACAGUCAUUUCUUCCCUUCUGUCAGACAUAAUUCCUCGGUUUGGCCUUCCCAUCACUAUACAGUCCGAUACCGGACCGGCCUUUAUUAGUUAAAUCACCAAGCAGUUUCUCAGGCUCUUGGUAUUCAGUAGUAAAAUCUUCAUACCCCUUACCGUCCUCAAUCUUCAGGAAAGGUAAAACGGACUAAUAGUCUUUUAAAGACAUACCUCACCAAGCUCAGCCUCCAGCUUCAAAAGGACUGGACAGUACUUUUACCUCUCACCCUUCUCAGAAUUAAAGCCUGUCCUCAGGGUGCUAGUAAAGCCCAUUUAAGCUCCUGUAUGGACAGUCCUUUUUAUUAGAGCCCAGUCUCAUUCCAGACACCAUCCCAACUUGAACUGCACCCCAAAAACUUGUCAUCCCUGCUAUCUUCUGUCUAGUCAUACUCAUAUUCAUUAUUUUCAACUACUUGUAAAUACCCUGCCCUUGUUUACACUGCCAGUUUACACUUUUCCUCCAAACCAUCAUAACUGAUAUCUCCUGGUUUUACCUCAAACCGGCACCAUUAAGUCUCUCUCAAAGUGGAUAGAUCAUCUUUGCUGACAGGGUGCACUCCAGUACUUUCACCCUGAUGAAGUCCUAUUCUUUACUUUUAUACUCACUCUUAUUCUCGUUCCCGUUCUUAUGCCACCCUCUACCUCUCCCCAGCUAUCUCCACCACACUAUCAAUCUCACUCACUCUCUCCUAGCCAUUUCUAACCCUUCUUUAACAAACAAUUUCUGGCUUUGCAUUUCUCUUUCCUCCAAAAUUGUGGAGGCCUCGACUUACUCACUGCUAAAAAAAAAAUUAAAAAAAGACUCCAUAUAUUUUUAAAUAAAGUGUUUUUUUUGUUUUUGUUUUACCUAAAUCAAUCUGGCCUGGUAUACAACAUAAAAAAACUCAAGGAUAGAGCCCAAAAACUCGCCAACCAAGCAAAUAAUUAUGCUGAACCCCCUUGGGCACUCUCUAAUUGGAUGUCCUGGGUCCUCCCAAUUCUUAGUCCUUUAAUACCUGUUUUUCUCUUCCUCUUAUUCGGACCUUGUGUCUUCUGUUUAGUUUCUCAAUUCAUAAAAAACCGCUUCCAGGCCAUCACCAAUCAUUCUAUACGACAAAUGCUCCUUCUAACAACCCCACAACAUCACCCCUUACCCCAAAAUCUUUCUUCAGUUUAAUCUCUCCCAUUCUGGAUUCCCAUGCUGCCCCUAAUCCCGCUCGAAGCAGCCCUGAGAAACAUCUUCCAUUAUCUCUCCAUACCACCCCCAAAAAUUUUCGCCGCCCCAACACUUCACCACUAUUUUGUUUUGUUUUUCUUAUUAAUAUAAGAAGACAGGAAUGUCAGGCCUCUGAGCCCAAGCGAAGCCAUCAUAUCCCCUGUGCCCUCCACAUAUACAUCCAGAUGGCCUGAAGCAACUGAAGAUCCACAAAGGAAGUGAAAAUAGCUUAACUGAUGACAUUCCACCAUUGUGAUUUGUUCCUGCCCCACCCCAACUGAUAUGAUAUGUUCUCCCCCGCCCUUAAGAAGGUACUUUGUAAUAUUCUCCCCCGCCCUUAAGAAGGUACUUUGUACACCUAUCCCAAACCUACAAGAACUAAUGAUAAUCCCACCAUCCUUUGCUGACUCCUUUUUCGGACUCAGCCCGCCUGCACGCAGGUGAAAUAAACGCCUUGUUGCUCACACAAAG
This 5821-nucleotide long non-coding RNA is filed under the name Homo sapiens (human). RNAcentral's name for it is "non-protein coding IDH2-DT:17". The record is from RNAcentral. Lineage: Eukaryota; Metazoa; Chordata; Mammalia; Primates; Hominidae.